Long non-coding RNA from Anopheles stephensi (Asian malaria mosquito), 1441 nucleotides. RefSeq lists it as uncharacterized. The transcript has 2 exons. The record is from RefSeq and is a predicted model, not a curated record. NCBI's taxonomy places the organism in Eukaryota, Metazoa, Arthropoda, Insecta, Diptera, Culicidae.
CCUCCCCUCAGUAAGGUCCGGACAUGUGAAAGAUGGAAGUGGACAUUCCACACAUCCGUUCGUAAGCAGCCAUACAGCGAUUUUCGUGAGGGGGGGACGUCUGUGGGGGAUUGUCGCGUCACCGUUGGUUAGUGGAUAUAGAUGAUACGUGUGCAAAUCUCGCUGUGUGCCAUGCGCUCCGUACGCGUCAACGAACCGAAUCGUUACCAGCUGUGUGCCUGUGUGUUGAUUGCUUGCGACCCGAGGACACCCUUGCUCUCGUUGUCGAAUUCGUUGGCCUGGUGGCCCUGGCCGACCGAGCUACCACUGACGGCCAGCUGCCAUACCGUCUCCACCCGUUAUAAUUACCACCACUCCAUUGCGGUCGAUCAUAAAUCUCAAAAUAGAUGACGCUCACGGAUGCACGUGGUGGCGUUGUUGCUGUUUGGGCAUCUUAGUUUGUGAGCUCUUUUUCUUUGGGGAUAGAGUACAGGUAAAGGUAUGAGUGCGGAAGUUAUGUUUGGACCAGUUGAAGAUGGAAGUCCGCUACCGUUGAGGAUACUAUCGAUAUUAACAGGGGGACGCCCUUGAGACAUAGGACGACUCGUGAGGAACUAGAGCACUAGAGAUUAAACUCAUCUCGAGGCUUAUAGAAUUGGACUUAGGACUUAGGAAACAGAGUUGACGGCGACGAUCUUGAGGUAGCAGAGGAGUUUUGCUACAGUUGGCAGGCAAGAGUCCUGGACUUGACGGAUGGCGGAGGACGCCAAUCUUUUGCUUGUGCAGGGCGUGUGGAGAAGGAGAAUGAACCAUGAGCUAGCUGAGCUGUUUGGUUUGGGGUGCUCUCCAGCAACCCGUACAUCACGACGCGUAGAGGAGCAGCACAGCGAGCACGUUGGCUAGAUUAAGUCAGUCCUGAGAGAGAUCGGAUGUAGCCAUCGACCGUGUUACCUGUAAACGAAUUUGACACCAGGCCAUGACUUAACGACGUGCUCCAUAGCAUCUGGCCAAGAAAGAAGUUCGAUGUGAUGAAGACAAAGUACCUACCUGUCGGAGGGUUAGAAUAUCCUGAGGGUGACCCCAACCGGAAGGAUACAAUGGUUACGAACACGCUGCAGUCGUCAGUCAGACCGGUGCAAGCGGUUGCAGUCCUGAUACGAUGCGUGCCCUACCGUGCACGGACCAAGAAGUCUGAGAAGCAGAAGAAUGCUUACCCCUUGUUCGAGUUUGGGCUGAUAGACAUUUAUUUUAGGGCAGUACUACAAUGGAUGUUUUCCUCAUUUUACAAUUCCUCUCAUUUGGCUCAGCAAUUCAUGUGUGCCCCGGCAAAGCUUAACGUAAUGGCUGACUCUGUUAUGGACAACGUGACGUAAAAAAUAUAUUACGAAAAUGGAAAGAAAGCUACAAUAAACGAUGAUUGUGCGGGGGGGGGGGGGGGGGGGGGAACCGUGGAUACGCCACA